UACGGAGGGUGCGAGCGUUACUCGGAAUUACUGGGCGUAAAGCGCGCGCAGGCGGCGUGAUAAGCCGGUUGUGAAAUCCCCGGGCUCAACCUGGGAACGGCAUCCGGAACUGUCAGGCUAGAGUGCUGGAGAGGAAGGUAGAAUUCCCGGUGUAGCGGUGAAAUGCGUAGAGAUCUGGAGGAAUACCAGUGGCGAAGGCGGCCUUCUGGACUAACACUGACGCUGAGGUGCGAAAGCGUGGGUAGCAAACAGG
RNAcentral lists this unclassified non-coding RNA (253 nucleotides) under uncultured Halomonadaceae bacterium. RNAcentral describes it as "contains 16S-23S intergenic spacer region". It matches the Rfam family "Bacterial small subunit ribosomal RNA", at positions 524 to 776 of the family's 1533-position model. Lineage: Bacteria; Pseudomonadati; Pseudomonadota; Gammaproteobacteria; Oceanospirillales; Halomonadaceae. The record is from RNAcentral.